GUCCACGCCCUAACGAUGUCAACUGGUUGUUGGACGGCUUGCUGUUCAGUAACGAAGCUAACGCGUGAAGUUGACCGCCUGGGGAGUACGGCCGCAAGGUUGAAACUCAAAGGAAUUGACGGGACCCGCACAAGCGGUGGAUGAUGUGGUUUAAUUCGAUGCAACGCGAAAACCUUACCUACCCUUGACAUGUCAAGAAUUUUGCAGAGAUGUGAAAGUGCUCGAAAGAGAACUUGAACACAGGUGCUGCAUGGCCGUCGU
This 261-nucleotide ribosomal RNA is filed under the name uncultured bacterium. RNAcentral's name for it is "partial 16S ribosomal RNA". It matches the Rfam family "Bacterial small subunit ribosomal RNA", at positions 793 to 1055 of the family's 1533-position model. The record is from RNAcentral.